RNAcentral lists this ribosomal RNA (346 nucleotides) under uncultured bacterium. RNAcentral describes it as "partial 16S ribosomal RNA". It matches the Rfam family "Bacterial small subunit ribosomal RNA", at positions 338 to 681 of the family's 1533-position model. The record is from RNAcentral.
CCUACGGGUGGCAGCAGUGAGGAAUAUUGGUCAAUGGACGAGAGUCUGAACCAGCCAAGUAGCGUGAAGGAUGACUGCCCUAUGGGUUGUAAACUUCUUUUAUAAAGGAAUAAAACGAGGCACGUGUGCCUUUUGGCAUGUACGUUAUGAAGAAGGAUCGGCUAACUCCGUGCCAGCAGCCGCGGUAAUACGGAGGAUCCGAGCGUUAUCCGGAUUUAGUGGGUUUAAAGGGAGCGUAGAGGGGUUGUUAAGUACGUGGGGAAAGUUUGCGGCUCAACCGUAAAAUUGCAAUUGAUACUGGCAGUCUUUCGUUCAGUUGUGGUCGGCGGACUUCGUGGUGUAGCGG